This 357-nucleotide RNase P RNA is filed under the name Rickettsiales bacterium. Its description in RNAcentral is "RNase P RNA component class A". It matches the Rfam family "Bacterial RNase P class A". From Rfam's summary of the family: Ribonuclease P (RNase P) is a ubiquitous endoribonuclease, found in archaea, bacteria and eukarya as well as chloroplasts and mitochondria. Its best characterised activity is the generation of mature 5'-ends of tRNAs by cleaving the 5'-leader elements of precursor-tRNAs. The record is from RNAcentral. Lineage: Bacteria; Pseudomonadati; Pseudomonadota; Alphaproteobacteria; Rickettsiales.
CUAGACGGUUAUAUGGUCACCUUUUAAAGGAGGAAAGUCCGGACUCACCAGAACACCAAAGCCGGUUAAUAGCCGGCGGGGGAGACCCUAGGGAAAGUGCAACAGAAAAAAAACCGCCAUAAAUAAUGGUAAGGGUGAAAAGGUAGGGUAAGAGCCUACCGCAUUUAUGGUAACAUAAAUGGCAUUGUAAACCCCUUUGGGAGCAAGUCCAAAAAAGCUUAGUCUUUUGACAGGUGUGGUUCUGCAUUAAGCAUGGUAGGACGCUAGAGAUUGCUGGUAACAGUUAUCCAAGAUUAAUGACCAUAGCCUUCAUAAUUCAUGAAGGGACAGAAUCCGGCUUACAGACCGUCUAGUAUU